This 472-nucleotide ribosomal RNA is filed under the name uncultured bacterium. RNAcentral describes it as "partial 16S ribosomal RNA". It matches the Rfam family "Bacterial small subunit ribosomal RNA", at positions 28 to 507 of the family's 1533-position model. The record is from RNAcentral.
GACGAACGCUGGCGGCGUGCUUAACACAUGCAAGUCGAACGCAAAGGCCUUGUUCUUGCGCUGGGUGGGUGUGGGGCACACGUGUGAGAAAUACGUGUAUACCCUCCUCUUGUCUCUGGGAUAAUCCUGGGAAACGGGGUCUAAUCCUGGAGACGCCAUUUCACCACGGUGGGGUGUGUGGAGUGUGGUUGGCUGGUUUUGGAUGCGCUCAGGGCCUAUCAGCUUGUUGGUGGGGUAAUGGCUCACCAAGGCGACGACGGGUAGCCGGCCUGAGAGGGUGACCGGCCACACUGGGACUGAGAAACGGCCCAGACUCCUACGGGAGGCAGCAGUGGGGAAUAUUGCACAAUGGGCGGAAGCCUGAUGCAGCAACGCCGCGUGAGGGAUGACGGCCUUCGGGUUGUAAACCUCUUUCAGCUGGGACGAAGCGUGAGUGACGGUAAGUGGUAAAGAAGCACCGGCUAACUACGUG